This is a long non-coding RNA of Chenopodium quinoa (quinoa), 755 nucleotides long. RefSeq lists it as uncharacterized. The record is from RefSeq and is a predicted model, not a curated record. The transcript has 3 exons. NCBI's taxonomy places the organism in Eukaryota, Viridiplantae, Streptophyta, Magnoliopsida, Caryophyllales, Amaranthaceae.
ACCCAAUGGCAAAAGGGUUGGGUCUAAUACUAAAGGGUUUUGACUCUUUAAUUUUUUAGUGGAUAGGAUUUUUAUAGGGUCUUUUUUUAUAGGGUUUCAAUUAGAGCCCAAUAAUUUAAGAAUUAAAAUAAAAAGUCCAAUAAUAAUGGUUAAGGGUCAGCUCCACUCACCCCUUCGCUUACUUAACCCCAAUAAUAAUUUCCAAAAACCUUUCUCUCUCCUCCAUUGAAGCGCACUCAGAGUUCUCCAUUGAAGCCGCUUCUCAACGUGGGUAUACGGGAGGCACAUUCGUGUUGUGGGACCAUCGGAAGAGCGAAUCAAAAGACAUUCAAAUUACCACAACUGCAUAUCCUGUUUGUGUGACAGGGUCUAUAUUGCCACUUGAUCUUGAGGAAGAAGACGAGCCGUGGACUUCUCUUGAUGAUAUCGAGUAACGCGGACACAAAACAGCUACAUGACGGCAAUUGUGACUUAAUAACCUUUCGUAAUUUUGUUUGUGUUUAAAAUAUUUACAAUGUGGGCCCGUGAUGAAGUAUGAAACAUUUAUUUUAUGUUAUCGUACUUUUAUUUAUCUUAUUGUCUGUAUGUUAUUUGAUGUAGGAAACAAGAGUUGGGGUACUGUUAUUUGAUGUUUAAGUAAUGUUUAGAUGUUAUUUUUUGUUUAUAUACUGUUUUUUAAUGUUAUAAUGGUGUUAUAAAUUGCUCCUAAACUGUUUUUAUAUGCUACAUUACUGUACGUAUCCACCAAUUACUAU